GUGUUGUACGAAAGGACAGAAGGUUAGCACUCCCCUUGACAAGGAUAGAAAAGGCUCUUGGGCCUUUUUAAAGAAAUGU
RNAcentral lists this small nuclear RNA (79 nucleotides) under Microcebus murinus (gray mouse lemur). The record is from RNAcentral. Lineage: Eukaryota; Metazoa; Chordata; Mammalia; Primates; Cheirogaleidae.